GCGGGUGUAGCUCAGUGGUAGAGCACAACCUUGCCAAGGUUGGGGUCGAGGGUUCGAACCCCUUCGCCCGCUCCA
RNAcentral lists this transfer RNA (75 nucleotides) under Agrobacterium rubi. RNAcentral's name for it is "tRNA-Gly". It matches the Rfam family "tRNA". From Rfam's summary of the family: Transfer RNA (tRNA) molecules are approximately 80 nucleotides in length. Their secondary structure includes four short double-helical elements and three loops (D, anti-codon, and T loops). RNAcentral also lists the same sequence under 39 other names. Lineage: Bacteria; Pseudomonadati; Pseudomonadota; Alphaproteobacteria; Hyphomicrobiales; Rhizobiaceae. The record is from RNAcentral.